This 594-nucleotide ribosomal RNA is filed under the name uncultured archaeon. RNAcentral's name for it is "bacterial SSU rRNA". It matches the Rfam family "Archaeal small subunit ribosomal RNA", at positions 25 to 621 of the family's 1478-position model. The record is from RNAcentral.
UACUGCUAUCAGUGUUCGAUUAAGCCAUGCGAGUUAAAUGUUCUUCGUGAACAUGGCGUACUGCUCAGUAACACGUGGAUAACCUGCCCUAAGGUCCGGCAUAACCCCGGGAAACUGGGGAUAAUACCGGAUAAACCAUAGAUACUGGAAUGUUCUGUGGUUCAAAGUUCCGGCGCCUUAGGAUGGAUCUGCGGCCUAUCAGGUAGUAGUGGGUGUAAAGUACCUACUAGCCGACGACGGGUACGGGUUGUGAGAGCAAGAGCCCGGAGAUGGAUUCUGAGACAUGAAUCCAGGCCCUACGGGGCGCAGCAGGCGCGAAAUCUUUACAAUGCGGGAAACCGCGAUAAGGGGACACUGAGUGCCAGCAUAUUAUGUUGGCUGUCCACCUGUAUAAAUCACAGGUGUUAGCAAGGGCCGGGCAAGACCGGUGCCAGCCGCCGCGGUAACACCGGCGGCCCGAGUGGUAGCCACUAUUAUUGGGUCUAAAGGGUCCGUAGCCGGUUUGAUCAGUCUUCCGGGAAAUCUGACAGCUCAACUGUUAGGCUUCCGGGGGAUACUGUCAGGCUUGGGACCGGGAGAGGUAAGAGGUACUAC